ACGGAAGGCAGCAGUGGGGGAUAUUGCGCAAUGGGGGAAACCCUGACGCAGCAACGCCGCGUGAAGGAAGGAGGUUUUCGGAUUGUAAACUUCUUUUAUGAGGGACGAAGAAGUGACGGUACCUCAUGAAUAAGCUCCGGCUAACUACGUGCCAGCAGCCGCGGUAAUACGUAGGGAGCGAGCGUUAUCCGGAUUUACCGGGUGUAAAGGGUGCGUAGGCGGCUAAACAAGUCAGGUGUGAAAUGUAUGGGCUCAACUCAUAAAUUGCACUUGAAACUGUAUAGCUUGAGUGAAGUAGAGGCAGGCGGAAUUCCCUGUGUAGCGGUGAAAUGCGUAGAGAUAGGGAGGAACACCAGUGGCGAAGGCGGCCUGCUGGGCUUUAACUGACGCUGAGGCACGAAAGCGUGGGUAGCAAACAGGAUUAGAUACCCUGGUA
This 436-nucleotide ribosomal RNA is filed under the name uncultured Ruminococcus sp. RNAcentral's name for it is "partial 16S ribosomal RNA". It matches the Rfam family "Bacterial small subunit ribosomal RNA", at positions 341 to 792 of the family's 1533-position model. The record is from RNAcentral. Lineage: Bacteria; Bacillati; Bacillota; Clostridia; Eubacteriales; Oscillospiraceae.